GAUGAACGCUGGCGGCGUGCCUAAUACAUGCAAGUCGAACGUGAAGCGUGUUUUCGAAUACGUGGAAAGUGGCGCCCGGGUGAGUAACACGUAGCUGAUUUGCCCUUCGCAGGGGGAUAACUUCGGGAAACCGAAGCUAAUACCGCGUACGCUCAUUGGACUUAGAACCCAAUGAGGAAAGCUCCGGCGGCGAAGGAGAAGGCUGCGUUCCAUCAGCUAGUUGGUGAGGUAACGGCUCACCAAGGCCACGACGGAUAGGGGACCUGAGAGGGUGACCCCCCACACUGGAACUGACACACGGUCCAGACUCCUACGGGAGGCAGCAGUAAGGAAUAUUGCGCAAUGGAGGAAACUCUGACGCAGCAACGCCGCGUGCGGGAAGAAGGUCUUCGGAUCGUAAACCGCUUUUCUGAGGGAAGAGCAAGGACGGUACCUCAGGAAUAAGUCUCGGCUAACUACGUGCCAGCAGCCGCGGUAAAACGUAGGAGGCGAGCGUUAUCCGGAUUUACUGGGCGUAAAGCGCGUGCAGGCGGUUUUGUAAGUCGUGCGUGAAAGCUCCCUGGCUUAACCGGGAGAGGUCGUGCGAUACUGCAAAACUAGAGACAGGUAGAGGCAAGCAGAAUUCCGGGUGUAGUGGUGAAAUGCGUAGAUAUCCGGAGGAAUGUCAGUGGCGAAGGCGGCUUGCUGGACCUGGUCUGACGCUCAGACGCGAAAGCAUGGGGAGCGAACGGGAUUAGAAACCCCGGUAGUCCAUGCCGUAAACGAUGUCUACUAGGUGUUGGAGGGUAACUCCUUCCGUACCGAAGCUAACGCGAUAAGUAGACCGCCUGGGGACUACGGCCGCAAGGCUAAAACUCAAAGGAAUUGACGGGGGCCCGCACAAGCAGCGGAGCGUGUGGUUUAAUUCGAGGCUACACGAAGAACCUUACCUGGGCUUGACAUAUUGGUAUAGUGAACUGAAAAGGGAACAACCUUCGGGAGCCAAUACAGGUGCUGCAUGGCUGUCGUCAGCUCGUGUCGUGAGAUGUUCGGUUAAGUCCGGUAACGAGCGCAACCCCCGGAAUUAGUUACAAGUGUCUAAUUCAACUGCCCGAUCAAAUUGGGAGGAAGGUGGGGAUGACGUCAAGUCAGCAUGGCCUUUAUGUCCAGGGCUACACACACGCUACAAUGGCCGAUACAAUAGGUUGCCAACCCGCGAGGGGGAGCCAAUCCACCAAAGUCGGUCUCAGUUCGGAUUGCAGGCUGCAACUCGCCUGCAUGAAGUUGGGGUUGCUAGUAAACGCAGGUCAGCUAUACUGCGUUGAAUACGUUCCCGGGCCUUGUACACACCGCCCGUCACGUCAUGGAAGCUAGUCACGCCUGAAGUCGGUGGGCUAACCGUAAGGAUGCAGCCGCCAAAGGCAGGGCUGGUGACUGGGACG
Molecule: ribosomal RNA, 1421 nt
Filed under: uncultured bacterium
Lineage: Bacteria
Description: bacterial SSU rRNA
Rfam family: Bacterial small subunit ribosomal RNA
Source: RNAcentral